AGAGUUUGAUCCUGGCUCAGAUUGAACGCUGGCGGCAGGCCUAACACAUGCAAGUCGGGCGGUAGCACAGAGAGCUUGCUCUCGGGUGACGAGCGGCGGACGGGUGAGUAAUGUCUGGGAAACUGCCUGAUGGAGGGGGAUAACUACUGGAAACGGUAGCUAAUACCGCAUAACGCCGCAAGACCAAAGUGGGGGACCUUCGGGCCUCAUGCCAUCAGAUGUGCCCAGAUGGGAUUAGCUAGUAGGUGGGGUAAUGGCUCACCUAGGCGACGAUCCCUAGCUGGUCUGAGAGGAUGACCAGCCACACUGGAACUGAGACACGGUCCAGACUCCUACGGGAGGCAGCAGUGGGGAAUAUUGCACAAUGGGCGCAAGCCUGAUGCAGCCAUGCCGCGUGUAUGAAGAAGGCCUUCGGGUUGUAAAGUACUUUCAGCGAGGAGGAAGGCGUUAAGGUUAAUAACCUCAGCGAUUGACGUUACUCGCAGAAGAAGCACCGGCUAACUCCGUGCCAGCAGCCGCGGUAAUACGGAGGGUGCAAGCGUUAAUCGGAAUUACUGGGCGUAAAGCGCACGCAGGCGGUCUGUUAAGUCAGAUGUGAAAUACCCGGGCUCAACCUGGGAACUGCAUUUGAAACUGGCAGGCUUGAGUCCUGUAGAGGGGGGUAGAAUUC
Molecule: ribosomal RNA, 670 nt
Filed under: uncultured bacterium
Lineage: Bacteria
Description: bacterial SSU rRNA
Rfam family: Bacterial small subunit ribosomal RNA
Source: RNAcentral